Molecule: ribosomal RNA, 119 nt
Filed under: Pteropus alecto (black flying fox)
Lineage: Eukaryota; Metazoa; Chordata; Mammalia; Chiroptera; Pteropodidae
Also listed under: 1 other name
Source: RNAcentral
GUCUAUGGCCAUGCCACCCUGAACAAGCCCGAUCCCGUCUGAUCUCAGAAGCUAAGCAGGGUCGGGCCUGGUUAGUACUUGGAUGGGAGACCACCUAGGAAGACCAGGUGCUGUAGGUG